CUUCUUCCCGGGACGGAGAAGGCGCUGGCGCCCCGGGCGGAGGUGGGAGCUCGCUGGGUCGGAUCCGGGCGAGGGCGCCGCUCUCGGCGGCGGCGGGGGAGCAAGUCGGGAGGACUCAACCUCCGGGCAAGAAGCCCCCACCCGGGACCCGGCGGGCCCCGCGGGCGCGGGGGUGGAUGCCCGGCUCGGGCAGAAAUCUCCCGCUCCGGUUUUCGCGGCCCUGGAGGGACCUUCCGCCCGAGAGCUCCCACCUGGGACGGCGGCUCCAGCAGGUCAAGACCCCGAGUGGAAGGAAGGCCGGGGGCGUGCAGGUAGACCCGUUUUCCUUUCUCCCGGCCAGGCGAUUUCUGCUGCCUGGGGCCGUGGCGGUGGGGGCUGCGGAGCCCAGGAGCUUCCCACCCAGAGGAAAGGCAGCCUCACCCUCACUCUUCUCAGCGCGGACACGCCGCCCUCACCGCCGUGGGUGAGGGUCCUCAGGCUACACCCCACGGCUUGGAAUUCCACAACAUUGGACGAGGCACUCAGGACGGCCUGGCUCCCACAGACCCCUGCAGGUGAGGACAGAUGCAAAGUGUGGGCGGGACUGGUUCUUGGGACGCAGACCCCGGUGGUGGUGGUGGUGGUGGUGGCAGCGGCGGUGGCGUGGUGA
This 649-nucleotide long non-coding RNA is filed under the name Sus scrofa (pig). RNAcentral's name for it is "lncRNA (ENSSSCG00070010721.1)". The record is from RNAcentral. Lineage: Eukaryota; Metazoa; Chordata; Mammalia; Artiodactyla; Suidae.